RNAcentral lists this ribosomal RNA (222 nucleotides) under uncultured bacterium. Its description in RNAcentral is "partial 16S ribosomal RNA". It matches the Rfam family "Bacterial small subunit ribosomal RNA", at positions 125 to 334 of the family's 1533-position model. The record is from RNAcentral.
CCUACCUCAGAGUGGGGGAUAACAUUCCGAAAGGAGUGCUAAUACCGCAUGACAUCCUUCGUUUAGAUGCGAGGUGAUCAAAGCCGGGGAUCGCAAGACCUGGCGCUUGGAGAGGGGCCCGCGUCCGAUUAGCUAGUUGGUGAGGUAACGGCUCACCAAGGCUCCGAUCGGUAUCCGGCCUGAGAGGGCGGACGGACACACUGGGACUGAGACACGGCCCAG